This 468-nucleotide ribosomal RNA is filed under the name uncultured bacterium. RNAcentral's name for it is "partial 16S ribosomal RNA". It matches the Rfam family "Bacterial small subunit ribosomal RNA", at positions 28 to 507 of the family's 1533-position model. The record is from RNAcentral.
GACGAACGCUGGCGGCGUGCUUAACACAUGCAAGUCGAACGGAAAGGCCCUGCUUUUGUGGGGUGCUCGAGUGGCGAACGGGUGAGUAACACGUGAGUAACCUGCCCUUGACUUUGGGAUAACUUCAGGAAACUGGGGCUAAUACCGGAUAGGAGCUCCUGCUGCAUGGUGGGGGUUGGAAAGUUUCGGCGGUUGGGGAUGGACUCGCGGCUUAUCAGCUUGUUGGUGGGGUAGUGGCUUACCAAGGCUUUGACGGGUAGCCGGCCUGAGAGGGUGACCGGCCACAUUGGGCCUGAGAUACGGCCCAGACUCCUACGGGAGGCAGCGGGGGGGAAUAUUGCACAAUGGGCGGAAGCCUGAUGCAGCAACGCCGCGUGCGGGAUGACGGCCUUCGGGUUGUAAACCGCUUUCGCCUGUGACGAAGCGUGAGUGACGGUAAUGGGUAAAGAAGCACCGGCUAACUACGUG